RNAcentral lists this ribosomal RNA (423 nucleotides) under uncultured Nitrosospira sp. Its description in RNAcentral is "bacterial SSU rRNA". It matches the Rfam family "Bacterial small subunit ribosomal RNA", at positions 207 to 622 of the family's 1533-position model. Lineage: Bacteria; Pseudomonadati; Pseudomonadota; Betaproteobacteria; Nitrosomonadales; Nitrosomonadaceae. The record is from RNAcentral.
CAAGACUUGCGCUGAUUGAGCGGCCGAUAUCAGAUUAGCUAGUUGGUGAGGUAAAGGCUCACCAAGGCGACGAUCUGUAGCGGGUCUGAGAGGAUGAUCCGCCACACUGGAACUGAGACACGGUCCAGACUCCUACGGGAGGCAGCAGUGGGGAAUUUUGGACAAUGGGCGCAAGCCUGAUCCAGCCAUGCCGCGUGAGUGAAGAAGGCCUUCGGGUUGUAAAGCUCUUUCGGCCGGGAAGAAAUCGUAUGGGUUAAUACCCUGUGCGGAUGACGGUACCGGCAUAAGAAGCACCGGCUAACUACGUGCCAGCAGCCGCGGUAAUACGUAGGGUGCGAGCGUUAAUCGGAAUUACUGGGCGUAAAGCGUGCGCAGGCGGUUUUGUAAGACAGGCGUGAAAUCCCCGGGCUCAACCUGGGAACU